CCGAAGGAUCCCUCUUAGAAAACUGCACAAGGCCGUUUAAUCGUGUGUUUUAAAAGACUUAAUACCAACAUGUUGCCCAAGUGUGGAACACUCUGCCUGAUUCCUCUCUGAUGCAUGAACAAAGCCUUUGCUGGAGGGCGGAGAUGUAUUUUUGUCUUUACCAAAACAAGCCAGGAAGUUUUUUUUUUUUGUUUGCUCCGGCUUGCUUUGGUGGUGGGAAGUUUUGCUGAAUCACUCUUGCAACGUUCAAUGAGGAAAAGAGUAAAAAUGUCAACCUGAGCUCGUCUUUCAGCUGCAGAACGUGGCUGUUAGAAUGUUGUCGGUCGAGUUACCAGCCUGUCAGCGACCAUAUUGUAGCAUAUGCUCAUUCGCCCUUUUUUUGAGGAAAGGUUUGGCCUCCCACAGUAACUCCUAACGUGUGUGUGUGAGUGAACACUUGCCAGUGAAUCAGCCCCUGUGCUGUCAGCCCAUGUGGCGUAUUGAUGUUGUGAGCAUGUGCCAAACUCGGUGAACACAAUUACAUGAUUAUUUGGGAAAGCGUUGAAAUGAAAUUCCUCAAAAAAAGGACACUGUUCUUGGCUUGAAAAGUCAAAGGGAAGCGCCGUAUAAAAAUGUCUAACUGCAUACAUGUUGUUAUGCAGCAGCGAGAUAUUAGCUGAACUGUAUUUCUGCACUAUUUCAGAUUACUUCAAAGCAUUUAACAAAGUAUUAACUUUUCAUCAUUCACAUUUAAGUACUAAAAAGGCUAAUUCACACUUUGUCUUUAUUUAGGAUUUUCUCCUGUCUGAACUGCUCUGCUCUAAAGUGUGCAUUUUAUUCUUCUAUUCUUUGUUUACAUGAUAUUGUAUGUAUCCUCUGUUAUCUGAAUGCAUGGUACAGGUGAAGGCUAGUUUAGUAAUGUAUGUGAAACACUGCUGGUAUGAUGGUGCCAAGUCUUGCUGGUGAGAGUGAUGGUGGAGAUGAUUUGUUUUUUACAGAAAUUUUAAUUAUUUCUAAAUAUUCUGAUGAUAUUUCAGCACAUGCGCAGAGAAUAAAUACUUCUCGGUUGCAAUGC
This is a long non-coding RNA of Micropterus dolomieu (smallmouth bass), 1054 nucleotides long. RefSeq lists it as uncharacterized. The record is from RefSeq and is a predicted model, not a curated record. The transcript has 2 exons. Lineage: Eukaryota; Metazoa; Chordata; Actinopteri; Centrarchiformes; Centrarchidae.